UCUACGGGAGKCAGCAGUGGGGGAUAUUGMMMAAUGGGGGAAACCCUGAUGCAGCGAUGCCGCGUGAAUGAUGAAGGCUUUCGAGUCGUAAAGUUCUGUUCUUAGGGAAGAUAAUGACGGUACCUAAGAAGAAAGUCCCGGCUAAAUACGUGCCAGCAGCCGCGGUAAUACGUAUGGGACAAGCGUUAUCCGGAAUUAUUGGGCGUAAAGAGUUCGUAGGCGGUCCUUUAAGUCAGAAGUGAAAGGCAGUGGCUCAACCAUUGUAAGCUUUUGAAACUGGGGGACUUGAGUGUUGGAGAGGAAAGCGGAAUUCCUAGUGUAGCGGUGAAAUGCGUAGAUAUUAGGAGGAACACCAGUGGCGAAGGCNGCUUUCUGGACAAANACUGACGCUGAGGAANGA
This 400-nucleotide ribosomal RNA is filed under the name uncultured Bacillota bacterium. RNAcentral's name for it is "bacterial SSU rRNA". It matches the Rfam family "Bacterial small subunit ribosomal RNA", at positions 338 to 756 of the family's 1533-position model. The record is from RNAcentral. Lineage: Bacteria; Bacillati; Bacillota.